RNAcentral lists this ribosomal RNA (506 nucleotides) under uncultured bacterium. Its description in RNAcentral is "bacterial SSU rRNA". It matches the Rfam family "Bacterial small subunit ribosomal RNA", at positions 19 to 518 of the family's 1533-position model. The record is from RNAcentral.
CUGGCUCAGGAUGAACGCUAGCGGCAGGCUUAACACAUGCAAGUCGAGGGGCAACGCGAGUAGCAAUACUUGGCGGCGACCGGCGCAAGGGUGCGUAACGCGUGAGCAACAUGCCCGUAUCAGGGGGAUAAUCCAGGGAAACUUGGUCUAAUACCCCAUAGUAAUUUUGUAAGGCAUCUUAUAAGAUUUAAAGCUUUGGUGGAUACGGAUUGGCUCGCGUGACAUUAGCUGGAUGGUAAGGUAACGGCUUACCAUGGCUAUGAUGUCUAGGGGUUCUGAGAGGAAGGUCCCCCACACUGGAACUGAGACACGGUCCAGACUCCUACGGGAGGCAGCAGUGAGGAAUAUUGGACAAUGGAUGGAAAUCUGAUCCAGCCAUGCCGCGUGAAAAGGAAGAAGGUCCUAUGGAUUGUAAACUUCUUUUGUAUGGGAGCAAUAAGGCCUACGAGUAGGUUGAUGAGGGUACCAUACGAAUAAGCACCGGCUAACUCUGUGCCAGCCGCCGC